RNAcentral lists this ribosomal RNA (92 nucleotides) under Dehalococcoidia bacterium. Its description in RNAcentral is "partial 16S ribosomal RNA". It matches the Rfam family "Bacterial small subunit ribosomal RNA", at positions 1 to 99 of the family's 1533-position model. Lineage: Bacteria; Bacillati; Chloroflexota; Dehalococcoidia. The record is from RNAcentral.
UUUUUGGAGAGUUUGAUCCUGGCUCAGGAUGAACGCUGGCGGUGUGCCUAAUGCAUGCAAGUCGAACGGAGUCCCGCAAGGGACCCCGUGGC